AUUGAACGCUGGCGGAAUGCUUUACACAUGCAAGUCGAACGGCAGCACGGGUGCUUGCACCUGGUGGCGAGUGGCGAACGGGUGAGUAAUACAUCGGAACGUACCCAGUUAUGGGGGAUAACUAACCGAAAGGUUAGCUAAUACCGCAUACGCCCUGAGGGGGAAAGCGGGGGACCGUAAGGCCUCGCGUAAUUGGAGCGGCCGAUGUCGGAUUAGCUAGUUGGUGAGGUAAAGGCUCACCAAGGCGACGAUCAGUAGCAGGUCUGAGAGGAUGAUCUGCCACACUGGAGCUGAGACACGGUCCAGACUCCUACGGGAGGCAGCAGUGGGGAAUUUUGGACAAUGGGCGAAAGCCUGAUCCAGCCAUUCCGCGUGAGUGAAGAAGGCCUCCGGGUUGUAAAGCUCUUUCGGCAGGGAAGAAACGCUCUGGGAUAAUACUCCGGGGUAAUGACGGUACCUGAAGAAGAAGCACCGGCUAACUACGUGCCAGCCGCCGCAGUAA
This 502-nucleotide ribosomal RNA is filed under the name uncultured bacterium. RNAcentral's name for it is "partial 16S ribosomal RNA". It matches the Rfam family "Bacterial small subunit ribosomal RNA", at positions 30 to 523 of the family's 1533-position model. The record is from RNAcentral.